AAAGCAGGUCAUAGUGAUCCGGUGGUUCUGAAUGGAAGGGCCAUCGCUCAACGGAUAAAAGGUACUCCGGGGAUAACAGGCUGAUACCGCCCAAGAGUUCAUAUCGACGGCGGUGUUUGGCACCUCGAUGUCGGCUCAUCACAUCCUGGGGCUGAAGUAGGUCCCAAGGGUAUGGCUGUUCGCCAUUUAAAGUGGUACGCGAGCUGGGUUUAGAACGUCGUGAGACAGUUCGGUCCCUAUCUGCCGUGGGCGCUGGAGAACUGAGGGGGGCUGCUCCUAGUACGAGAGGACCGGAGUGGACGCAUCACUGGUGUUCGGGUUGUCAUGCCAAUGGCACUGCCCGGUAGCUAAAUGCGGAAGAGAUAAGUGCUGAAAGCAUCUAAGCACGAAACUUGCCCCGAGAUGAGUUCUCCCUGAGACUUAAAGUCUCCUGAAGGAACGUUGAAGACGACGACGUUGAUAGGCCGGGUGUGUAAGCGCAGCGAUGCGUUGAGCUAACCGGUACUAAUGAACCGUGAGGCUUAACCUU
This 529-nucleotide ribosomal RNA is filed under the name Salmonella enterica. Its description in RNAcentral is "partial 23S ribosomal RNA". It matches the Rfam family "Bacterial large subunit ribosomal RNA", at positions 2402 to 2925 of the family's 2925-position model. Lineage: Bacteria; Pseudomonadati; Pseudomonadota; Gammaproteobacteria; Enterobacterales; Enterobacteriaceae. RNAcentral also lists the same sequence under 1 other name. The record is from RNAcentral.